This 253-nucleotide ribosomal RNA is filed under the name uncultured bacterium. RNAcentral describes it as "partial 16S ribosomal RNA". It matches the Rfam family "Bacterial small subunit ribosomal RNA", at positions 524 to 776 of the family's 1533-position model. The record is from RNAcentral.
UACGUAGGUGGCAAGCGUUGUCCGGAAUUACUGGGUGUAUAGGGAGCGCAGGCGGGAAGCCAAGUCAGCUGUGAAAACUACGGGCUUAACUUGUAGACUGCAGUUGAAACUGGUUUUCUUGAGUGAAGUAGAGGUUGGCGGAAUUCCGAGUGUAGCGGUGAAAUGCGUAGAUAUUCGGAGGAACACCGGUGGCGAAGGCGGCCAACUGGGCUUUAACUGACGCUGAGGCUCGAAAGCGUGGGGAGCAAACAGG